CUUUAAGCCGAGAACAGUGUUGCUGAAGGACUUUGCUGUGAGGAGCUGAGCUUACGAGUGUGAGCAUAUUGAAUAUUAGGUAAAACUCGGCACAUGCCUGCUGCAUUUCGUGACUGUCACACCAGAGACUGUGCCGCAUGAGUCAUUGAGACACACCACUUCAAGCACACACAAGCUUGGCCUCACCACUUACACACUCUGGUUCGGUCCGACCACUGGAGAGGAGUCCAUCCUGGGGCCCCUGCCUCACGGUCUGUUUCCUGUUUCCUGUUUUCCCCUGUUUCCUCACGGUCAGAUAGAGGUAAUGUCCUGGCAAGAAUGUCCACUGCGAGGAUUAAAGAUGUGGUGAUCCUAAACAUCUCUGCCUCAUUCUCGAUUUUAAAAGCUAAUAUUCUAGUGUUUUCCCAACUUAAGACUACAUUUGCUUAAUUUUUUAUAUGUGCUUUGUAUCAUGCUAAACACAUUCCCUUCUAUUCCUCAUUUGCUGAAAGAUUUCUUUCUUUAACAAUGAACUUACUAUGAUUUUUAAAAAUGUCGUACCUAGAUCUAUCGGAAUGAUACAUAUUUUCUCCUUUAAUAUGGUAGUACAGUAAGUUACAUUUCUAGAUUUUUCUAACAUUAAACCAACUUUGCAUUAAGCCCAGCUUUGUCAUGGUUUAUUAGCAUUUUUAUAAACUGUAGAAUUUAAUUUGCAAGUCCAAUGUUCUAUUUAUGAUUUUUGCUUCUGUAUUCAUAAGUGAAAUGAGACUGUAUUUUUUCCUCCAUCACUAUGUCAUUGUUUGAUGUUGGUAUUGGUGUUAUAAAGUCCUUAUAAACUGA
Molecule: long non-coding RNA, 819 nt
Organism: Lutra lutra (Eurasian river otter)
Lineage: Eukaryota; Metazoa; Chordata; Mammalia; Carnivora; Mustelidae
Exons: 3
Source: RefSeq, a predicted model, not a curated record